ACCCCGCGUGAANGAUUAANGCCCUAUGGCUUGUAAACUUCUUUUCUCUGGGAAUAAAAACUGGGAAUUCAUCCUAGCUUGAAGGUACCAGACAAAUAAGCACCGGCUAACUCCGUGCCAGCAGCCGCGGUAGUACGGAAGGGUGCAAGCGUUAUCCGGAUUCACUGGGUUUAAAGGGUGCGUANGUGGUUUUGUAAGUCAGUGGUGAAAGUCCGGAGCUCAACUCCGGAACUGCCAUUGAUACUGCUUAACUUGAAUCAAGUAGAGGUGGAUGGAAUAAUACAUGUAGNCGGUGAAAUGUUUAGCAUAUGUAUUAGAACACCGAUUGCGAAGGCAGUUCACUAUGCUUGUAUUGACACCUGAGGCACGAAAGCGUGGGGAUCAAACAGGGAUUAGAUACCCUGGGUAGUCCAAGGGCG
This 419-nucleotide ribosomal RNA is filed under the name uncultured bacterium. Its description in RNAcentral is "bacterial SSU rRNA". It matches the Rfam family "Bacterial small subunit ribosomal RNA", at positions 394 to 803 of the family's 1533-position model. The record is from RNAcentral.